This 406-nucleotide ribosomal RNA is filed under the name uncultured bacterium. Its description in RNAcentral is "partial 16S ribosomal RNA". It matches the Rfam family "Bacterial small subunit ribosomal RNA", at positions 30 to 526 of the family's 1533-position model. The record is from RNAcentral.
AUUGAACGCUGGCGGCAGGCCUAACACAUGCAAGUCGAACGAGUGGCGGACGGGUGAGUAAUGUCUAGGAAACUGCCUGAUGGAGAGGGCUAAGUACUGGAAACGGUAGCUAAUACCGCAUACCAUCAGCUGUGCCCAGAUGGGAUUCGCUUGUUGGUGGGGUAACGGCGCACCAAGGCGACGAUCCCUAGCUGGGCUGCGAGGAGGACCAGCCACACUGGAACUGAGACACGGUCCAGACUCCUACGGGAGGCAGCAGUGGGGAAUAUUGCACAAUGGGCGAAAGCCUGAUUCAGCCAUGCCGCGUGUAUGAAGAAGGCCUUCGGGUUGUAAAGUACUUUCAGCGGGGAGGCGGUACCCGCAGAAGAAGCACCGGCUAACUCCGUGCCAGCAGCCGCGGUAAUAC